This 443-nucleotide ribosomal RNA is filed under the name uncultured bacterium. Its description in RNAcentral is "partial 16S ribosomal RNA". It matches the Rfam family "Bacterial small subunit ribosomal RNA", at positions 338 to 795 of the family's 1533-position model. The record is from RNAcentral.
CCUACGGGAGGCAGCAGUGGGGAAUAUUGGGCAAUGGGCGCAAGCCUGACCCAGCAACGCCGCGUGAAGGAAGAAGGCUUUCGGGUUGUAAACUUCUUUUCUCAGGGACGAAGCAAGUGACGGUACCUGAGGAAGAAGCCACGGCUAACUACGUGCCAGCAGCCGCGGUAAUACGUAGGUGGCAAGCGUUAUCCGGAUUUACUGGGUGUAAAGGGCGAGUAGGCGGGAAAGCAAGUCAGAUGUGAAAACCAUGGGCUCAACCUGUGGCCUGCAUUUGAAACUGUAUUUCUGGAGUACUGGAGAGGCAGACGGAAUUCCGAGUGUAGCGGUGAAAUGCGUAGAUAUUAGGAGGAACACCAGUGGCGAAGGCGGUCUGCUGGACAGCAACUGACGCUGAGGCGCGAAAGCGUGGGGAGCAAACAGGAUUAGAUACCCCAGUAGUC